Molecule: ribosomal RNA, 3216 nt
Filed under: Spondylosium planum
Lineage: Eukaryota; Viridiplantae; Streptophyta; Zygnematophyceae; Desmidiales; Desmidiaceae
Description: bacterial LSU rRNA
Rfam family: Bacterial large subunit ribosomal RNA
Source: RNAcentral
AAUUCAUAGGCAGGCAAGAGACAACCUGGCGAACUGAAACAUCUUAGUAGCCAGAGGAAAAGAAAGCAAAAGCGAUUCCCUGAGUAGUGGCGAGCGAAAUGGGAACAGCCUAAACCGCCUCUGGGCGGGGUUGUGGGAGAGCGAUAGGAGCUAAGAAAACCUAAACGAAGCAGCUGAUUCCUGCACCUUAGAUGGUGAUAGUCCAGUAGUUGAAAGGAUCUCUAGCAAACGCUACUACCCGAGUAGCAUGGGGCACGUGAAACCCCGUGUGAAUCAGCGAGGACCACCUCGUAAGGCUAAAUACUCCUGGGUGACCGAUAGUGAAGUAGUACCGUGAGGGAAAGGUGAAAAGAACCCCCAUCGGGGAGUGAAAUAGAACAUGAAACCGUAAGCCUCCAAGCAGUGGGAGGAGAAUGGAAUCUCUGACCGCGUGCCUGUUGAAGAAUGAGCCGGCGACUUAUAGGCAGUGGCCUGGUUAAGGCGGAAAGCCGGAGCCGUAGCGAAAGCGAGUCUUUCUAGGGCGAAUGUCACUGCUUAUGGACCCGAACCCGGGUGAUCUAACCAUGGCCAGGGUGAAGCUUGGGUGAAGCCAAGUGGAGGUCCGAACCGACUGAUGUUGAAAAAUCAGCGGAUGAGCUGUGGUUAGGGGUGAAAUGCCACUCGAACUCGGAGCUAGCUGGUUCUCCCCGAAAUGCGUUGAGGCGCAGCGGUUGACUGGACUGCCUAGGGGUAAAGCACUGUUUCGGUGCGGGCUGCGAAAGCGGUACCAAAUCGAGGCAAACUCUGAAUACUAGGUACGACAUGGGUCAGCCAGUGAGACGGUGGGGGAUAAGCUUCAUCGUCGAGAGGGAAACAGCCCAGACCACCAGCUAAGGCCCCUAAAUGACCGCUCAGUGGCAAAGGAGGUGAGAGUGCAAAGACAGCCAGGAGGUUUGCCUAGAAGCAGCCACCCUUGAAAGAGUGCGUAAUAGCUCACUGAUCGAGCGCUCUUGCGCCGAAGAUGAAUGGGACUAAGCGGUCUGCCGAAGCUGUGGGAUGCCUGUUAGGGCAUCGGUAGGGGAGCGUUCCGCAAAAGGGAGAAGCAUCAGUGUAAACAGGUGUGGACGAAGCGGAAGUGAGAAUGUCGGCUUGAGUAACGCAAACAUUGGUGAGAAUCCAAUGCCCCGAAAACCCAAGGGUUCCUCCGCAAGGCUCGUCCACGGAGGGUGAGUCAGGGCCUAAGAUCAUGCCGAACGGCGCAGUCGAUGGACAACAGGUCAAGAUUCCUGUACUACCCCUUGUUGACAAGAAGAGGGACGGAGGAGGCUAAGCUAGCCGAACAAUGGUCAUCGGUUCAAGGGCCAGAAAGCCUGAGUACUAGGCACCUACGGGGCCGAAGUAGCUGAUGCCACGCUCCCAAGAAAAGCUCUUACGUCAUCGCCGUGCUUCGCACUCCCCGUUGUCCCGUUGCUCACGCAACCCGAAAGGUCGCGGAUGCCCCUACGGGGUCCUUUAGGAGGAGGAGACGCGAUAGCGAAUUGACACAAAGCGUGUCCGGAAGGCAACAAAAUGAAGACAAGUGGGUACCUGUACCCGAAACCGACACAGGUGGGUAGGUUGAGAAUACCUAGGGGCGCGAGAUAACUCUCUCUAAGGAACUCGGCAAGAUGGCCCCGUAACUUCGGGAGAAGGGGUGCCCCUCUGGGCCGCAGUGACCAGGCCCAGGCGACUGUUUAACAAAAACACAGGUCUCCGCAAAGUCGAAAGACGACGUAUGGGGGCUGACGCCUGCCCAGUGCCGGAAGGUUAAGGAAGUCGGUGACUCGAGUACGAGGAAGCUGGCGACCGAAGCCCCGGUGAACGGCGGCCGUAACUAUAGACCUAAUUGUAGUUAUAAAAUUUAGCUAAGUGCUGGAAACCCUCUAAGAAGGUUCUUUACUCGUGGAUUCAUCGGCUUACAAGCGACCGAAAACGGUUUACAAAACGAAACGCCGCCGCAGUGACAAUGAGAACUGGAGAGACAAUCAGCAGGAAAGACUUUUAUGAAUAAACAAAACGAACUGAAGCAUGUUCCCCCUGAAAAGGGAUACUAUAUUGCUGGCUUUGUCGACGGAGAAGGAAGCUUUUACCUGAGUGCGCGCAAGAGACAAGAUUAUCCCACAGGAUGGAAGAUUUGAACUUCAUUUCAACGUGAGCAACCGAGACCUCGCUGUACUAGAAGUUUGUAAAAGUAUUUAGGCUGCGGAAAGAUUCGAGAAUCACGCCCGGGRAUUUUAUACCCUGGAAGUGGAAAAUCGACAGAACCUGGCUACUUUCAUCAUUCCGUUCUUCAAACGAUUUCACUUUCUCUCCAACAAAAGAAGGCCGAAUUUCGUCUCUCUCAAAUUGCUCUCGCCUUGAUGGAAGCUGGGAUUCAAACGCCGGAACAAUUGGAAGAAUGGUUUUCCUCCGCCAACAGUUGAAUGGGUCCCGUCAGACGCGUAUUAAGAAUACGGAUGAGCUGAUUCGGGCUAGUUUUCGCUUUAUGAAAGAAUCCUCAGAGACUACUCGCUAAACGCUCUUCCUCGCGGAGGGUGAUGAUAUAGUCCGAUCUCUAUGGCNNCGUAGAGGCCGUCUUUCCAAUGGGAGANAGGCACAGGAAAAUUCUAAAAAGGGUUUUCUCUGGAACACCAAUGAACGGUCCUAAGGUAGCGAAAUUCCUUGUCGGGUAAGUUCCGACCCGCACGAGAGGCGUAACGAUCUGGGCACUGUCUCGGAGAGAGACUCGGUGAAAUAGACUUGUCUGUGAAGAUGCGGACUACCUGCACCUGGACAGAAAGACCCUAUGAAGCUUUACUGUUCCCUGGGAUGGGGUUUGGGCCCUUCUUGCGCAGUCUAGGUGGGAGGCGAAGACGGCGUCCUUCCGGGGACGCUCGAGCCGAAGAUGAGAGACCACCCUAGAAGGGCUAGGAUUCUAACCUUAUGCCUAGAAGAAGGCUAGGGGACAGUCCCAGGUAGACAGUUUCUAUGGGGCGUAGGCCUCCCAAAGGGUAACGGAGGCGUGCAAAGGUUUCCUCAGGCUGGACGGAAAUCAGCCUUCGAGUGCAAAGGCAGAAGGGAGCUUGACUGCAAGACUCACACGUCGAGCAGGGACGAAAGUCGGCCUUAGUGAUCCGACGGUUCCGAGUGGAAGGGCCGUCGCUCAACGGAUAAAAGUUACUCUAGGGAUAACAGGCUGAUCUUCCCCAAGAGUUCACA